UUACCUGUGUGUGUGUGUUUGUGCGUGUGUGUGUGCGCGCGUGUGGGCACACGUCCUCUCUGAGCUUUAGUUUCCUUCGCUGGCAAAUCUGUAAACGUUCUGGGUCUGCCUGAGGUACGGCACAGAUAGGACGGUAGUGCAAGGAUGCCCAAACCCCUAGGAACAUUCUCUCCGUGUUUUAUGGUUUCCUUAUUGUAAAUCCACUUUCCCAAUGUAGAAUUUAAAACAAAACAAAACAAAAAAUUACAAAUCAACAAGAGAUUUGGGAGGGGACACAUACCCAAACUAUAUCAGACUGUUUAAGAAAAUGGUCUAUGUUUUAGAGAUACAUUUGGAAAUAUUUAGGGGGGAUAUACCUGCAAUUCACUUUAAAAUAUUUCAGCUUAAAAUAUAUAGUCAAUUUACAGGUUAAGAUGCAAUUGUGAGAAACUGCAAGUUAGAAAUACUAUGAGUUUAAGCAAUUAUCUUAUGAAAGUAAUUACAACUGCCUGAGUUCAUGCUGCUAAUAGCUCCAUGUCACGUUAUCUAUGUUAUGUGUAACAGGUCAAAUUGUUCAUAACUUUGUCAUUCAAAGAGCUGUAGAGGUGUGAGCAAAAUCAGUGUAUUCAGUCAAAAUGGUGUUCAUGACAAGGGGAGCCCCUUGGAUGUCUGAGGCCAUGCAUGUGCAAUUAUUGGGGAGUCUGAGAGUUAUCUGAGGGGGGAGGGGGUUCAAAUGCCUGAGGAGUGACUGUGGGAUGAUAUGCAAACAGUACUUGGCAAUGACCAAGACCACAUACUUGCAAAGCUCACUCCCAUGAAGACCAACUCAAAGACCAAAACCAUACUCCAGGCUAUGCUAGAAAUUUAGAAGCCAGAACCAAGGGAAAGCUGGCAAGAUGAGCCCAGAGGAAGGACUCUGCAAAGAUGAGGAGCCCAGAGGGAGAUGUCUAGGACAGGCUCCACACAAAACCAUGCUGUAGGCAUGCUGUGGUCCUCCUUUCUCAUGGCUUGUGUGACAUCCGUCCAGUUAGUAUCAGAGUUAUAAAAACCGACUCUGCAGCUUCAGGGUGGUCACACUGCAGUAAAGCAGUGAGUGUGUGUGUAUGUGAGUGUGUGUGUAUGUGAGGGUGUGUGUAUGUGAGUGUGUGUGUAUGUGAGGGUGUGUGUAUGUGAGUGUGUGUAUGUGAGGGUGUGUGUAUGUGAGUGUGUGUGUAUGUGAGGGUGUGUGUAUGUGAGGGUGUGUGUAUGUGAGUGUGUGUGUAUGUGAGGGUGUGUGUAUGUGAGGGUGUGUGUAUGUGAGGGUGUGUAUGUGAGGGUGUGUGUAUGUGAGGGUGUGUGUAUGUGAGGGUGUGUGUAUGUGAGUGUGUGUGUAUGUGAGGGUGUGUGUAUGUGAGGGUGUGUGUAUGUGAGGGUGUGUGUAUGUGAGGGUGUGUGUAUGUGAGGGUGUGUGUAUGUGAGGGUGUGUGUAUGUGAGGGUGUGUGUAUGUGAGUGUGUGUGUAUGUGAGGGUGUGUGUUUGCCACAGGGUCUGGCCCACGGCACACUGGAGGGAGACCCUGAAGAGGAAGGAAUGCUCAUAUUAGUGAAAACUGAGAGCUGACAACCUAAAGAUGGGAUAGUAAACUUAACUUACUUAAAGCAGACCAAUGUGGACAUAUAGUUUCAGGGUAGAUAGUGUUCUACAUCUCAUUGGUCAUGGAGGCAUCACUGUGUUACUCUUUGUCAUCAAGAAUAGAUUAAAAUAGGCUGGGCACCUAUAGACGUGGCUCACGCCUGUAAUCCAAGCACUUUGGGAGGCUGAGGAGGGUGGAUUAUUUGAGAUCAGGAGCUCAAGACCAACAUGGCCAACAUGGCCAACAUGAUGAGACCCCCGUCUAUACUAAAAAUACAAAAAGUAGCCAGGUAUGGCAGCACGCACCUGUGAUCCCAGCUACUCGGGAGGCUGAGGUAGGAGAAUCACUUGAACCCAGGAGGCAGAGUUUGCAGUGAGCUGAGAUUGUGCUACUCCACUCCAGGUUGGGCAUCAGAGCGAGACUCCGUCUCAAAAAAAAAAAAAAAAAGAAUCCAUUAUAAUAGCCUUUAUUUAGGGAAACAGGGAAUUAUGCGCCAGUUUUUGAGUCAUCAAACAUUAUUAACAUUCGUUAAAGUUUUGUUUUCAGUGUCAUUUAUGAGACAAUGCUACAAAUGUUUCAUGUACAAAUGCCACAUAACUGAAAGUGACUGCAUUAAGUAGCCUGGACAAAUUUAUUCCCAACACACAAGUGAUGGAAACCAAUACUCACAGUGGAAGGGCUCCUAGAGACCAAUUUAUUCAAAUAUUCUCCUAUCAUAGGAAGAAAACAUGAGGACUGGAGACGGAAAAAGACUUGCCAUGCACACAAGUUACAUGAAAGAUUAAACCAAGGCUGUUCUCCGAUCCCCUCUCCUCUAGCUCAAAUCACAUCCAGGGGCUCAACUUCUCACAAAACUAUGUGAAUUUAUACAAUCAAAUUGGAUUCCCCAAGAUACUUGUGCUGGCUAAACCUUCAUGGGACAAAGAAGCCUCAUAUGCUUAUUUCCUCAUCUGUAAUGUGAGGAUA
Molecule: long non-coding RNA, 2557 nt
Filed under: Homo sapiens (human)
Lineage: Eukaryota; Metazoa; Chordata; Mammalia; Primates; Hominidae
Description: HSALNT0133108
Source: RNAcentral